ACUUAAAUAGCUUAUAUUAGAGCAUAACAUUGAAGAUGUUAGGGAAAUAUCAUUAUUUUUAAGUA
This 65-nucleotide transfer RNA is filed under the name Nanophyes marmoratus. Its description in RNAcentral is "tRNA-Phe". The record is from RNAcentral. RNAcentral also lists the same sequence under 1 other name. Lineage: Eukaryota; Metazoa; Arthropoda; Insecta; Coleoptera; Brentidae.